This 425-nucleotide ribosomal RNA is filed under the name uncultured bacterium. RNAcentral's name for it is "partial 16S ribosomal RNA". It matches the Rfam family "Bacterial small subunit ribosomal RNA", at positions 354 to 796 of the family's 1533-position model. The record is from RNAcentral.
GUGGGGAAUCUUAGACAAUGGGCGCAAGCCUGAUCUAGCCAUGCCGCGUGAGCGAUGAAGGCCUUAGGGUUGUAAAGCUCUUUCGUGGGGGAAGAUAAUGACUGUACCCCAAGAAGAAGCCCCGGCUAACUCCGUGCCAGCAGCCGCGGUAAUACGGAGGGGGCUAGCGUUGUUCGGAAUUACUGGGCGUAAAGCGCACGUAGGCGGACUGGAAAGUCAGGGGUGAAAUCCCGGGGCUCAACCCCGGAACUGCCUUUGAAACUCCCAGUCUUGAGUUCGAGAGAGGUGAGUGGAAUUCCGAGUGUAGAGGUGAAAUUCGGAGAUAUUCGGAGGAACACCAGUGGCGAAGGCGGCUCACUGGCUCGAUACUGACGCUGAGGUGCGAAAGCGUGGGGAGCAAACAGGAUUAGAAACCCGAGUAGUCC